This 292-nucleotide ribosomal RNA is filed under the name uncultured bacterium. RNAcentral describes it as "partial 16S ribosomal RNA". It matches the Rfam family "Bacterial small subunit ribosomal RNA", at positions 505 to 796 of the family's 1533-position model. The record is from RNAcentral.
GUGUCAGCAGCCGCGGUAAGACGAACCGUGCGAACGUUGUUCGGAAUCACUGGGCUUAAAGGGCGCGUAGGCGGGCUGUCAAGUCUGGGGUGAAAUCCCGCGGCUCAACCGUGGAACUGCCUCAGAUACUGACGGCCUCGAGGGAGGUAGGGGCGUGCGGAACUGUGAGUGGAGCGGUGAAAUGCGUUGAUAUUCACAGGAACUCCGGUGGCGAAGGCGGCGCGCUGGACCUCUUCUGACGCUGAGGCGCGAAAGCUAGGGGAGCAAACGGGAUUAGAUACCCCGGUAGUCC